Molecule: long non-coding RNA, 300 nt
Filed under: Hordeum vulgare
Lineage: Eukaryota; Viridiplantae; Streptophyta; Magnoliopsida; Poales; Poaceae
Description: long non-coding RNA (HVUL_LNC014864)
Source: RNAcentral
ACCUGAACAUUGAUUUGACGGUGAUCUACAUCCCACACGCGAAAUCAAUGACUCACGAGCAAGGAUGCGUGAGAGAGCUCGGCCAGCCAUAAGCGUAUCACGACCGUUCGUUCGUGAUCGGACGUUAACUCGUAUAGACGAAUGAGAGGGCUUCAAACUGGCUUCGGGAGUAGCAGCCCCCAGGACAGUCGGCCCGUUAGUAGCCCACGCAUGAGUGGAGGCGCAUGAGACAGCCCAGUUCGCGACCUGAACAUUGAUUUGACGGUGAUCUACAUUCCACACGCGAAAUCAACGGCUCAC